CCCUUAGAUGUUCUGGGCUGCACGCGCGCUACACUGAUGCGAUCAACAAGUUUUUCCUAUGUCGAUAGACACGGGUAAUCUUUUGAACUCGCAUCGUGAUGGGGAUAGAUUAUUGUAAUUAUUAAUCUUCAACGAGGAAUUCCUAGUAGGUGCAAAUCAUCAGUUUGCAUCGAUUACGUCCCUGCCCUUUGUACACACCGCCCGUCGCUGCUACCGAUUGGUUGAUCUGGUGAAUUAUUCGGAUUGCCGGCUGAAGGGGUUUCCUCAUCUGCCAGCGGAAAGUCUUGUUAACCCUAUCAACUAGAGGAAGCAGAAGUCGUAACA
RNAcentral lists this ribosomal RNA (324 nucleotides) under uncultured eukaryote. RNAcentral describes it as "partial 18S ribosomal RNA". It matches the Rfam family "Eukaryotic small subunit ribosomal RNA", at positions 1470 to 1796 of the family's 1831-position model. The record is from RNAcentral.